RNAcentral lists this ribosomal RNA (699 nucleotides) under Triticum aestivum (bread wheat). RNAcentral describes it as "partial small subunit ribosomal RNA". The record is from RNAcentral. Lineage: Eukaryota; Viridiplantae; Streptophyta; Magnoliopsida; Poales; Poaceae.
AUGGAGCCGACCUACAGUGCAAUAGCCAGCGCCAUUGGCUCGGCACCUUCUCAUUGGCGCGGCUCACUGCAUGCGCCUUCGACAUCACCUAUUGGAGUUCAUCGGUCCACUUAUGAACAUUGCAUCCUGCGCGACGAAGAGGGCACCCGCACAGUUCUUGAGCAGAAGGACACCCGUGAGAGCAAUGAGACGGCGAUGGAGAGGACAUCUAUUAGAGAUGCUCUAAACAUCAAUUCUGCAAUUAAUUGGGAUGAAGUGGAUGAUCAACACGAUGGUCAUGCCUUGAACAUGCACUACAUGUAUGUAUUCGAGAAGAGUGCCAUAUGCGAAUACGACACACAACCACCAGGAGCAAGCACAAUGGAGCAAGCGAGCAGCGCGCAGGCCGAGCUUAGCCUCGAGCUCACCCUGGCCGCCGACGUGGGUGUGGUGCCGGCGGAGGCAGGCUUUUUCCUCUGCGUCUACUGCUACCGCAGGUUCCGCACCUCGCAGGCACUCGGCAGCCACCAAAACGCGCACAAGCAAGAGCGCGCCGUCGCUAAGCGACGCCGGGAUGCCGCCGCCGCGAUGCGCCCCUCCCCUGCCAGGAAGGCUGCUGCUCGAAUGCCGGAGGAGCCUGCUGGUGGUGUCAUGGCGCACAAGGACGGCAGCAGCUGCCGGGAGAGCGACCCCGAGCUGGACUUGUCUCUCCGUCUGUAA